Molecule: ribosomal RNA, 442 nt
Filed under: uncultured bacterium
Lineage: Bacteria
Description: partial 16S ribosomal RNA
Rfam family: Bacterial small subunit ribosomal RNA
Source: RNAcentral
CCUACGGGUGGCAGCAGUGGGGAAUAUUGGGCAAUGGGCGAAAGCCUGACCCAGCAACGCCGCGUGAGGGAAGACGGCUCUAGGGUUGUUAACCUCUUUUUUGCGGGACGCAGAAAGUGACGGUACCUAAGGAAUAAGACACGGCUAACUACGUGCCAGCAGCCGCGGUCAUACGGCGGAUGCGACAGUGAUCCGGAUUUAUUGGGUUUAAAGGGUGCGCAGGCGGAAGAUCAAGUCAGCGGGAAAAUUGAGAGGCUCAACCUCUUCGAGCCGUUGAAACUGGUUUUCUUGAGUGAGUGAGAAGUAUGCGGAAUGCGUGGUGUAGCGGUGAAAUGCAUAGAUAUCACGCAGAACUCCGAUUGCGAAGGCAACAUACCGGCGCUCAACUGACGCUCAUGCACGAAAGUGUGGGUAUCGAACAGGAUUAGAUACCCUGGUAGUC